This 71-nucleotide transfer RNA is filed under the name Ligilactobacillus salivarius. Its description in RNAcentral is "tRNA-Gly". It matches the Rfam family "tRNA". Rfam says of the family: Transfer RNA (tRNA) molecules are approximately 80 nucleotides in length. Their secondary structure includes four short double-helical elements and three loops (D, anti-codon, and T loops). Further hydrogen bonds mediate the characteristic L-shaped molecular structure. tRNAs have two regions of fundamental functional importance: the anti-codon, which is responsible for specific mRNA codon recognition, and the 3' end, to which the tRNAs corresponding amino acid is attached (by aminoacyl-tRNA synthetases). tRNAs cope with the degeneracy of the genetic code in two manners: having more than one tRNA (with a specific anti-codon) for a particular amino acid; and 'wobble' base-pairing, i.e. permitting non-standard base-pairing at the 3rd anti-codon position. Lineage: Bacteria; Bacillati; Bacillota; Bacilli; Lactobacillales; Lactobacillaceae. The record is from RNAcentral.
GCGGGUAUAGUUUAGUGGUAAAACUUCAGCUUUCCAAGCUGGUGUCGCGAGUUCGAUUCUCGUUACCCGCU